This 806-nucleotide ribosomal RNA is filed under the name uncultured bacterium. RNAcentral's name for it is "bacterial SSU rRNA". It matches the Rfam family "Bacterial small subunit ribosomal RNA", at positions 93 to 883 of the family's 1533-position model. The record is from RNAcentral.
GAGUUGCGAACGGGUGAGUAACGCGUAGGUAACCUGCCUGGUAGCGGGGGAUAACUAUUGGAAACGAUAGCUAAUACCGCAUAACAGUAGAUAUCGCAUGAUAGCUGCUUAAAAGGUGCAAUUGCACCACUACCAGAUGGACCUGCGUUGUAUUAGCUAGUUGGUGAGGUAACGGCUCACCAAGGCAACGAUACAUAGCCGACCUGAGAGGGUGAUCGGCCACACUGGGACUGAGACACGGCCCAGACUCCUACGGGAGGCAGCAGUAGGGAAUCUUCGGCAAUGGACGGAAGUCUGACCGAGCAACGCCGCGUGAGUGAAGAAGGUUUUCGGAUCGUAAAGCUCUGUUGUAAGAGAAGAACGAGUGUGAGAGUGGAAAGUUCACACUGUGACGGUAUCUUACCAGAAAGGGACGGCUAACUACGUGCCAGCAGCCGCGGUAAUACGUAGGUCCCGAGCGUUGUCCGGAUUUAUUGGGCGUAAAGCGAGCGCAGGCGGUUAGAUAAGUCUGAAGUUAAAGGCUGUGGCUUAACCAUAGUACGCUUUGGAAACUGUUUAACUUGAGUGCAAGAGGGGAGAGUGGAAUUCCAUGUGUANCGGUGAAAUGCGUANAUAUAUGGAGGAACACCGGUGGCGAAAAGCGGCUCUCUGGCUUGUAACUGACGCUGAGGCUCGAAAGCGUGGGGAGCAAAACAGGAUUAGAUACCCCUGGUAGUCCACGCCGUAAACGAUGAGUGCUAGGUGUUAGACCCUUUCCGGGGUUUAAUGCCGUANCUAACGCAUUAAGCACUCCGCCUGGGGAGUAC